AUGGAUCGCCGGAAGAAGCAAGCCACAGGCAACGGCGACAAGCCCUUGGCGCCCAAGGACGAAAACGUCGGACCGGACCACAUAGCUCAGAUCGUGAGCAAAUGGACAGGAAUCCCGGUGACGAGUCUGGGGACGGACGAGAGGAAGCGGCUACUGGAGCUGCCGAAGCGGCUGCACCGGCGUGUGAUCGAGCAGGACGAGGCGGUGAACGUGGUUGCCGAGGCCGUGGUGUGCUCGCGAUCGGGCCUCGGGGAGCCAAACCAGCCGUCAGGAUCGUUCCUCUUCCUCGGCCCCACCGGCGUCGGCAAGACGGAGCUCGCCAAGGCCCUCGCCGAGCAGCUCUUCGGCAAUGAGAAGCUGCUCGUCCGCAUCGACAUGUCCGAGUACAUGAGCAGCAGCUCCGUCACUCGCCUCAUCGGCGCAUCUCCUGGGUCGUAUGGGUACGAGAAGGGCGGGCAGCUGACGGAGCUGGUGCGGCAGCGACCCUACAGCGUGGUCCUCCUGGACGAGGUGGAGAAGGCCGACGCCUCCGUGCUCAACGUCUUCCUCCAGAUCCUCGACGACGGGCGCGUCACCGACGGGCACGGCCGCACCGUCGACUUCACCAACACCAUCAUCAUCAUGACCUCCAACCUCGGUGCGCACCACCUCCUCGCCCGCGCAGCCAGCAAGGACACGGAAGCCACCCGCAAGCGCGUGAUCGCCGACGUGCAGAGGCACUUCCGCCCCGAGCUCAUCAACCGGCUGAGCGAGAUGGUGAUCUUCCGCCCGCUCUCCGGCAAGCAGCUGCGGAGGGUAUGGAAUAUGCAGCUCAAAGGCAUCACCGCGCGCGCGCCUCGCCGAGAAGGGCGUCGGCCUCGACGUCACGGACGCGGCCCUCGACGUGAUCCUCUCGCGGUCCAGCGACCAGGUGCAGAUGUACGGCGCGAGGCCGGUCAAACGCUGCCUGCAGAAGAACGUCGUGACCAGGAUAUCCAAGACGGUGGCGUGUGA
This 993-nucleotide ribosomal RNA is filed under the name Triticum aestivum (bread wheat). RNAcentral describes it as "partial small subunit ribosomal RNA". Lineage: Eukaryota; Viridiplantae; Streptophyta; Magnoliopsida; Poales; Poaceae. The record is from RNAcentral.